Molecule: ribosomal RNA, 482 nt
Filed under: uncultured bacterium
Lineage: Bacteria
Description: partial 16S ribosomal RNA
Rfam family: Bacterial small subunit ribosomal RNA
Source: RNAcentral
AUUGAACGCUGGCGGCAUGCCUUACACAUGCAAGUCGAACGGUAACAGGUCUUCGGAUGCUGACGAGUGGCGAACGGGUGAGUAAUACAUCGGAACGUGCCCGAUCGUGGGGGAUAACGAAGCGAAAGCUUUGCUAAUACCGCAUACGAUCUACGGUUGAAAGCAGGGGACCGCAAGGCCUUGCGCGAACGGAGCGGCCGAUGGCAGAUUAGGUAGUUGGUGGGAUAAAAGCUUACCAAGCCGACGAUCUGUAGCUGGUCUGAGAGGACGACCAGCCACACUGGGACUGAGACACGGCCCAGACUCCUACGGGAGGCAGCAGUGGGGAAUUUUGGACAAUGGGCGAAAGCCUGAUCCAGUCAUGCCGCGUGCAGGAUGAAGGCCUUCGGGUUGUAAACUGCUUUUGUACGGAACGAAAAGACUCUGGUUAAUACCUGGGGUCCAUGACGGUACCGUAAGAAUAAGCACCGGCUAACUACGUG